UUAAGUAGACCGCCUGGGGAGUACGGCCGCAAGGUUAAAACUCAAAUGAAUUGACGGGGGCCCGCACAAGCGGUGGAGCAUGUGGUUUAAUUCGAUGCAACGCGAAGAACCUUACCUGGUCUUGACAUCCACAGAAGAAUCCAGAGAUGGAUUUGUGCCUUCGGGAACUGUGAGACAGGUGCUGCAUGGCUGUCGUCAGCUCGUGUUGUGAAAUGUUGGGUUAAGUCCCGCAACGAGCGCAACCCUUAUCCUUUGUUGCCAGCGGUUCGGCCGGGAACUCAAAGGAGACUGCCAGUGAUAAACUGGAGGAAGGUGGGGAUGACGUCAAGUCAUCAUGGCCCUUACGACCAGGGCUACACACGUGCUACAAUGGCGCAUACAAAGAGAAGCGACCUCGCGAGAGCAAGCGGACCUCAUAAAGUGCGUCGUAGUCCGGAUUGGAGUCUGCAACUCGACUCCAUGAAGUCGGAAUCGCUAGUAAUCGUGGAUCAGAAUGCCACGGUGAAUACGUUCCCGGGCCUUGUACACACCGCCCGUCACACCAUGGGAGUGGGUUGCAAAAGAAGUAGGUAGCUUAACCUUCGGGAGGGCGCUUACCACUUUGUGAUUCAUGACUGGGGUGAAGUCGUAACAAGGUAACCGUAGGGGAACCUGC
RNAcentral lists this ribosomal RNA (655 nucleotides) under Salmonella enterica subsp. enterica serovar Infantis. RNAcentral describes it as "bacterial SSU rRNA". It matches the Rfam family "Bacterial small subunit ribosomal RNA", at positions 860 to 1515 of the family's 1533-position model. The record is from RNAcentral. Lineage: Bacteria; Pseudomonadati; Pseudomonadota; Gammaproteobacteria; Enterobacterales; Enterobacteriaceae.